This 555-nucleotide ribosomal RNA is filed under the name Triticum aestivum (bread wheat). RNAcentral's name for it is "partial small subunit ribosomal RNA". The record is from RNAcentral. Lineage: Eukaryota; Viridiplantae; Streptophyta; Magnoliopsida; Poales; Poaceae.
AUGGAGGCGGGGCAGCUGCGGGAUGCAGGGCACUGUGGUUGGGAUGAGGUGUGGAUGCAGGAUCCUGUCCAGAUCAGGAGAUGGGGUGGCCCUAGCGGCGACGACGAAGCAAAGGCGACGGAUGACGAGGUUCUGCUACAGGGCGUCUCACUAGACGUCUGCAGCGGUGGCUCCUGCAAAAUGGCAGCGGCGCGGCUGAUUAGCCUCGCGUGGCGGCGCCUCACCAUGGUGCGCUGGGUUUGCACGGACGCGACGGACAGCGCCACCUCUUUCCAUUCGAUUGCACGGACGCGAGCGGCGCGGCGGGAUUUGGGUGUGGCGGCAAACAACUCUGAAGUUCAGCGCGGGCUAGCGAGGGGACCGAACGCCAGCGAAGCCAGCCGUCGAUCCAGCGAGCGGGGAGCAGAUCCUGCGCGAGGGGAGGCCGGGAGCAGAUCCAGCGAGCAAGAAGCCGAUCCAGCCGACGAGGGGAUCCAUCAGUCGCGGGCGAUGCGGAUGAAUCGGGGGCCUGCCGAUCCACUCGACGCGGUCGAACCGCCUGCGUGGAAAGGGUGA